UUUUUUCGCCUUUAACAACACUGUUCUGAAUAUGGGUAUUUCUGCCCAUUCUGUGUGGGAGCCCCUAAAAACAUGAUUACAGGAAUAUAUAGUAACCAUCAUCUUUUCUCCAGUUAAGAUCACCAUGCUAUUAGGAGUCUUCUUAAAAGUCUUAAAUUUUAGCGUGCUUAAAGCUGGCAAAUUAAGUGUGUGGAGUUGGUAGCCUUCUAGCUAUAUUAUUUCUUGCCAUGAGAAUAAGUUUGAUUUGGUUGCCAUGAGAUUAAGUUAGAUCUUGGAUGCACCUUUCCCCAUUUCACCUUCGGCCUCAUUUUAUAAGAUUCCUAUGAUUUUAAAUAUUGUCUUUUUAAUCUUUUGCAAUAAAGUUUUAUUUAAUUAGAUUAAUUGCUGGUUCAUUUUGUUAUUCAUCUUCGUGAUCCUUCAUUGUAAAUUUAUAAUAUAUUCUUGUCUCAUGUAUUCACUUCUUUCCUUUUGUUGUCUAGUUGGGUGUCUAAUGGGGUUGUUGGCUCUCCAGCUUUUGCAGCAUAUGAUCAAGGGUUUGAU
Molecule: unclassified non-coding RNA, 540 nt
Filed under: Hevea brasiliensis (rubber tree)
Lineage: Eukaryota; Viridiplantae; Streptophyta; Magnoliopsida; Malpighiales; Euphorbiaceae
Source: RNAcentral